Molecule: small nuclear RNA, 107 nt
Filed under: Chinchilla lanigera (long-tailed chinchilla)
Lineage: Eukaryota; Metazoa; Chordata; Mammalia; Rodentia; Chinchillidae
Source: RNAcentral
GUGCUUGCUUUGGAAGAACAUAUACUAAAAUUGGAACGAUACAGAGAAGAUUAGUAUGGCCCUUAAGUAAGGCUGAGGCACAAAUUCAUGAAGCGUUAAAAAAUUCA